UGGGGAAUAUUGGGCAAUGGAGGCAAUUCUGACCCAGCAACGCCGCGUGAGGGAAGAAGGUUUUCGGAUUGUAAACCUCUGUCCUUGGGGACGAAGAAAGUGACGGUACCCGAGGAGGAAGCCCCGGCUAACUACGUGCCAGCAGCCGCGGUAAUACGUAGGGGGCGAGCGUUGUCCGGAAUUACUGGGCGUAAAGGGUGCGUAGGCGGUAUGGUAAGUUAGAUGUGAAAUCCCCGGGCUUAACUUGGGAGUGGCAUUUAAAACUGUCAUACUAGAGUGCAGGAGAGGAAAGCGGAAUUCCUAGUGUAGCGGUGAAAUGCGUAGAUAUUAGGAGGAACACCAGUGGCGAAGGCGGCUUUCUGGACUGUAACUGACGCUGAUGCACGAAAGCGUGGGGAGCAAACAGGAUUAGAUACCCUGGUAGU
RNAcentral lists this ribosomal RNA (425 nucleotides) under uncultured Oxobacter sp. RNAcentral describes it as "bacterial SSU rRNA". It matches the Rfam family "Bacterial small subunit ribosomal RNA", at positions 355 to 794 of the family's 1533-position model. Lineage: Bacteria; Bacillati; Bacillota; Clostridia; Eubacteriales; Clostridiaceae. The record is from RNAcentral.